This 1459-nucleotide ribosomal RNA is filed under the name Chromobacterium sp. 23. RNAcentral's name for it is "16S ribosomal RNA". It matches the Rfam family "Bacterial small subunit ribosomal RNA". The record is from RNAcentral. Lineage: Bacteria; Pseudomonadati; Pseudomonadota; Betaproteobacteria; Neisseriales; Chromobacteriaceae.
AUGCUUUACACAUGCAAGUCGAACGGUAACAGGGUGCUUGCACCGCUGACGAGUGGCGAACGGGUGAGUAAUGCGUCGGAAUGUACCGUGUAAUGGGGGAUAGCUCGGCGAAAGCCGGAUUAAUACCGCAUACGCCCUGAGGGGGAAAGUGGGGGACCGUAAGGCCUCACGUUAUACGAGCAGCCGACGUCUGAUUAGCUAGUUGGUGAGGUAAGAGCUCACCAAGGCGACGAUCAGUAGCGGGUCUGAGAGGAUGAUCCGCCACACUGGGACUGAGACACGGCCCAGACUCCUACGGGAGGCAGCAGUGGGGAAUUUUGGACAAUGGGCGCAAGCCUGAUCCAGCCAUGCCGCGUGUCUGAAGAAGGCCUUCGGGUUGUAAAGGACUUUUGUUCGGGAGGAAAUCCCGCUGGUUAAUACCUGGCGGGGAUGACAGUACCGGAAGAAUAAGCACCGGCUAACUACGUGCCAGCAGCCGCGGUAAUACGUAGGGUGCAAGCGUUAAUCGGAAUUACUGGGCGUAAAGCGUGCGCAGGCGGUUGUGCAAGUCUGAUGUGAAAGCCCCGGGCUUAACCUGGGAACGGCAUUGGAGACUGCACGACUAGAGUGCGUCAGAGGGGGGUAGAAUUCCACGUGUAGCAGUGAAAUGCGUAGAGAUGUGGAGGAAUACCGAUGGCGAAGGCAGCCCCCUGGGAUGACACUGACGCUCAUGCACGAAAGCGUGGGGAGCAAACAGGAUUAAGAUACCCUGGUAGUCCACGCCCUAAACGAUGUCAACUAGCUGGUGGGGGUUUGAAUCCUUGGUAGCGUAGCUAACGCGUGAAGUUGACCGCCUGGGGAGUACGGCCGCAAGGUUAAAACUCAAAGGAAUUGACGGGGACCCGCACAAGCGGUGGAUGAUGUGGAUUAAUUCGAUGCAACGCGAAAAACCUUACCUGCUCUUGACAUGUAACGAACUUGGUAGAGAUAUCUUGGUGCCCGAAAGGGAGCGUUAACACAGGUGCUGCAUGGCUGUCGUCAGCUCGUGUCGUGAGAUGUUGGGUUAAGUCCCGCAACGAGCGCAACCCUUGUCAUUAGUUGCCAUCAUUAAGUUGGGCACUCUAAUGAGACUGCCGGUGACAAACCGGAGGAAGGUGGGGAUGACGUCAAGUCCUCAUGGCCCUUAUGAGCAGGGCUUCACACGUCAUACAAUGGUCGGUACAGAGGGUUGCCAAGCCGCGAGGUGGAGCUAAUCUCAGAAAACCGAUCGUAGUCCGGAUCGCACUCUGCAACUCGAGUGCGUGAAUGCGGAAUCGCUAGUAAUCGCAGAUCAGCAUGCUGCGGUGAAUACGUUCCCGGGUCUUGUACACACCGCCCGUCACACCAUGGGAGUGAGUUUCACCAGAAGUGGGUAGGCUAACCGUAAGGAGGCCGCUUACCACGGUGGGAUUCAUGACUGGGGUGAAGUCGUAACAAGGUA